UCGCGAAAACUUCGCAAUAAGCGAAAGCUUGACGGGGCUAUCCCGAGUGCCAGCUAGGGGAAUAAGGAGAGGGCAAGUCUGGUGUCAGCCGCCGCGGUAAUACCAGCUCUCCGAGUUGUGGGGAUAUUUAUUGGGCCUAAAGCAUCCGUAGCCGGCUGAACAAGUCCCCUGUUAAACCCAGCGACUUAAUCGUUGGUCUGCGGGGGAUACUGUUCGGCUAGGGGGCGGGAGAGGCCGUCGGUAUUCCUGGGGUAGGGGUGAAAUCCUAUAAUCCCAGGAGGACCACCAGUGGCGAAGGCUGUCGGCUAGAACGCGCCCGACGGUGAGGGAUGAAAGCUGGGGGAGCGAACCGGAUUAGAUACCCGGGUAGUCCCAGCUGUAAACGAUGCAGGCUAGGUGUUAGGGCGGCUACGUGCCGCUCUAGUGCCGCAGGGAAGCUGUUAAGCCUGCCGCCUGGGGAGUACGGCCGCAAGGCUGAAACUUAAAGGAAUUGGCGGGGGAGCACACAAGGGGUGAAGCUUGCGGUUUAAUUGGAGUCAACGCCGGAAAUCUUACCGGGGGCGACAGAGGAUGAAAGCCAGAUUAAAGGUCUUGCCAGACGAGCUGAGAGGAAGUGCAUGGCC
This 623-nucleotide ribosomal RNA is filed under the name uncultured archaeon. RNAcentral's name for it is "bacterial SSU rRNA". It matches the Rfam family "Archaeal small subunit ribosomal RNA", at positions 339 to 999 of the family's 1478-position model. The record is from RNAcentral.